UUGAGGAGGGUAGAACAAGGUGAAAACAAAUUCCACCUUACGAAAAAUCAAUGGAGUCCAUGUGAGGCAUGAAGGUUAUUAGGUCGAUCUCGCCAAAAAAAGGUCUGGCGGUCAUCAGUUUAUCUUCACGGGAAGAAGCUGCUUCAUAUGCCAAUGUCACGAAGUCGACAGCAAAUUUUUUGAAAAAUCACGAAAAGUCGAAAAGAAUCAUAUCUAACAAUGCACUAAAUUUGAACAAAAGCAAAAUAUAAGAAGUUUGCAGUCUGUUCAAGAUUAACACCAUAUCGCCAAAAAAAAAGAGAAUUAAUGAAAAAGAAGAAAAGAAAAAUGAGUGAAAAAAGGAGA
Molecule: long non-coding RNA, 345 nt
Filed under: Gossypium barbadense (sea-island cotton)
Lineage: Eukaryota; Viridiplantae; Streptophyta; Magnoliopsida; Malvales; Malvaceae
Description: long non-coding RNA (GBAR_LNC016614)
Source: RNAcentral